CUUUUUCGGCUAAGAUCAUGUCUAAGGCCAGUCUGUUCUGGAAGGUCAUUUGGGAUGUGGCCUGUAAUUGCUCGGCCAAGCCCUGGAGGGCAUCCCUGGUGUAGUUGACAAAACGCUGUUGGUUGUAAUAGAUAUAAUUAAUCCAAUUAAGGUUUUUGUUGGCAGUGACUAUGGUAAAAAGUGAUUCAAAACCUGCAGCUACUUCAUCUCUAGCUUUAAAUUCAUUAGGUACCCCCCUAGGCACCCCAAUGGCAUCUAUGUAAAUGUGGGGGUCAAAACUGCCUUUUAC
Non-coding RNA from Pelobates cultripes (western spadefoot toad), 289 nucleotides. The record is from the annotation of a GenBank genome assembly. NCBI's taxonomy places the organism in Eukaryota, Metazoa, Chordata, Amphibia, Anura, Pelobatidae.